This 468-nucleotide ribosomal RNA is filed under the name uncultured bacterium. RNAcentral describes it as "partial 16S ribosomal RNA". It matches the Rfam family "Bacterial small subunit ribosomal RNA", at positions 28 to 507 of the family's 1533-position model. The record is from RNAcentral.
GACGAACGCUGGCGGCGUGCUUAACGCAUGCAAGUCGAACGGAAAGGCCCUGCUUUUGUGGGGUGCUCGAGUGGCGAACGGGUGAGUAACACGUGAGUAACCUGCCCUUGACUUUGGGAUAACUUCAGGAAACUGGGGCUAAUACCGGAUAGGAGCUCCUGCUGCAUGGUGGUGGUUGGAAAGUUUCGGCGGUUGGGGAUGGACUCGCGGCUUAUCAGCUUGUUGGGGGGGGAGUGGCUUACCAAGGCUUUGACGGGUAGCCGGCCUGAGAGGGUGACCGGCCACAUUGGGACUGAGAUACGGCCCAGACUCCUACGGGAGGCAGCAGUGGGGAAUAUUGCACAAUGGGCGGAAGCCUGAUGCAGCAACGCCGCGUGCGGGAUGACGGCCUUCGGGUUGUAAACCGUUUUCGCCUGUGACGAAGCGUGAGUGACGGUAAUGGGUAAAGAAGCACCGGCUAACUACGUG